Molecule: ribosomal RNA, 687 nt
Filed under: uncultured bacterium
Lineage: Bacteria
Description: bacterial SSU rRNA
Rfam family: Bacterial small subunit ribosomal RNA
Source: RNAcentral
GGGUGAGUAACGCGUGGGUAACCUGCCCUGUACACACGGAUAACAUACCGAAAGGUAUGCUAAUACGAGAUAAAAUACUUUUAUCGCAUGGUAGAAGUAUCAAAGCUUUUGCGGUACAGGAUGGACCCGCGUCUGAUUAGCUAGUUGGUAAGGUAACGGCUUACCAAGGCGACGAUCAGUAGCCGACCUGAGAGGGUGAUCGGCCACAUUGGAACUGAGACACGGUCCAAACUCCUACGGGAGGCAGCAGUGGGGAAUAUUGCACAAUGGGCGAAAGCCUGAUGCAGCAACGCCGCGUGAGCGAUGAAGGCCUUCGGGUCGUAAAGCUCUGUCCUCAAGGAAGAUAAUGACGGUACUUGAGGAGGAAGCCCCGGCUAACUACGUGCCAGCAGCCGCGGUAAUACGUAGGGGGCUAGCGUUAUCCGGAAUUACUGGGCGUAAAGGGUGCGUAGGUGGUUUCUUAAGUCAGAGGUGAAAGGCUACGGCUCAACCGUAGUAAGCCUUUGAAACUGGGGAACUUGAGUGCAGGAGAGGAGAGUGGAAUUCCUAGUGUAGCGGUGAAAUGCGUAGAUAUUAGGAGGAACACCAGUUGCGAAGGCGGCUCUCUGGACUGUAACUGACACUGAGGCACGAAAGCGUGGGGAGCAAACAGGAUUAGAUACCCUGGUAGUCCACGCCGUAAACGGU